Oncorhynchus tshawytscha (Chinook salmon) is the source of this 1126-nucleotide long non-coding RNA. Lineage: Eukaryota; Metazoa; Chordata; Actinopteri; Salmoniformes; Salmonidae. The record is from Ensembl.
GUGGUGGUAGCAGGGUAGAGUACCGGGUGGUAGUAGCAGGGUAGUGUACCGGGUGGUAGUAGCAGGUUAGUGUACCGGGUGGUAGUAGCAGGGUAGAGUACCGGGUGGGGUACAGGGUAGUGUACCGGGUGGUGCAGGAUAGUGUACCGGGUGGUGCAGGGUAGUGUACCGGGUGGGAGCAGGGUAGUGUACCGGGUGGUGCAGGGUAGUGUUACCGGGUGGUGCAGGGUAGUGUACCGGGUGGGGUAGGGUAGAGUACCGGGUGGUGUAGGGUCGUGUUCCCGGGUGGUGCAGGGUAGUGUAGGUGGGAGCAGGGUAGAGUACCGGGUGGUGUAGGGUAGUGUACCGGGUGGUGUAGGGUAGUGUUCCCGGUGGUGCAGGGUAGUGUUCCCGGGUGGGAGCAGGGUAGAGUACCGGGUGGUGCAGGGUAGUGUACCGGGUGGUAGCAGGGUAGUGUACCGGUGGUAGCAGGGUAGUGUACCGGGUGGUAGCAGGGUAGAGUACCGGGUGGUGCAGCCUAGAGUACCGGGUCGGAGCCGGCUGUUAACAGUGACUAAAGAUCAGCGUUGGGUACUGGACAGCGGCUGGCUAGUGGUGACUAUUUAACAGUCUGAUGGAGUGUGUGUGUGUGUGUGUGUGUGUGUGUGACAGAGUAACAAAUCAUGAAUGAUAAAAGUAUGAUAUUUGUUCAAAGUUUAUAUUUUCACGUUGAAGGAGUCAAUUUUCAAAGACGGUUCCAAAAAAUGUUUUAAAAAUCUAUGUUUAUGUCGGGAUCAGAUGACAAGCUGCUGGUCUGUCCAGGGGGAGUGUCCGGUUCACUGGAGUCAGGGGGCGUGUCCGGCUGGAGCCAGGGGGCGUGUCCGGCUGGAGCCAGGGGGCGUGUCUGGACGGAGCCGGGGGGCGUGUCCGGCUGGAGCCAGGGGGCGUGUCCUGCUGGAGCCAGGGGUGUGUCCGGCUGGAGCCAGGGGUGGAGUAACAUCUCGUCCAGAGUGGGCCGUCCUCGGGGUCGCUUCGCCAGACACCUCCUCAACAGAUCCACACAGUCUGGAGAACAAAGGAGAGAGAACAAGUCUGUCUGUCUGUCUGUGUAUUCCUCUGUCUGUCUGUCUGCCUGCCUGCCUGCCUG